Long non-coding RNA from Brachypodium distachyon (stiff brome), 2584 nucleotides. RefSeq lists it as uncharacterized. The record is from RefSeq and is a predicted model, not a curated record. Lineage: Eukaryota; Viridiplantae; Streptophyta; Magnoliopsida; Poales; Poaceae. The transcript is spliced from 3 exons.
AUUCAUAAACAACUUUGGUUCUUUUUUGAUGUAGCACCAUCUUUAUAUAUAAAUAGUGGUUACCCCGCGCGUUACCGCGGAUAUUAAAGAACAAUACAUCCGCGUCCAUGAUCAGUGCAAGAAUCACUGUAAUACUCAAACAGCUUGAGAACAAUGCAUUGUGCAAAUGUAAUUAGGGGAGAACACUUUACCAUUUGGGUAACAUUUUAUGAAAAAAACAUUGUGCUAAAACAUAUCCAAAGCAACGGCAGAAUUUGACCGCAAAUCACAAAGUAGAAAAUGAGAACAUUAGUCAUGUGCGACACCAAUCGGAACAAUUGCGCCAACCAUCAUGGCAUAGAGUACUGCCGACCGAUGCCUUGUACUAAUCCAUGAGAUCGAUGUGUGAAUAUGUGAUGCUGCUUGCCGCGUAGCCAGCUGCUCUGCCUCUUGCGCCUUGCAGCCUUGCAGCAGCUUGCGCCGCUCGCACUGACGCUCGCACUUGCGGCAACUCUGUCGCGCAGCAGCUCCCGCUUGCCGUUCCUAUGUGAUGGACGAUGCUGAGUCACCGCGUCGCCACAGCAUGCACCGAAUCGACCUCCACCUCCCUCGUCUCGGCUUUCCACGGCCUUGGCGCCGCCGCAACCUCCCUCACCAACCACGGCAGAGGGAUGGUUGGUGGUUAUCGGGACCAUGGACGCAGGUAGAAUCGGUGGCAAGGGAUUCGGCAGGGAAGGGAUGCACGGCCGGAUUUGGGCUCCGGCUGCUCGUUGGGGCGGGGAAGCGCAGUAGGGGCGGCGCCGGUUGUCGGGGAGGAGAAGAGGAGCAUCGGCGACGGCCGGCGGGCCUCAGAAAGGCCGCGCGGGGGAGUCAGACGAUGACGGAGCGCCGGCAGGGUCGGGGCUGAGCCCAUGGGCAGGGACAUCGUUCUGAGGCGGCCGGGGCCGAGCUUGUGGGCAGUGGGGACGGAACUUGGCCGCGGCUGGUGGGCCUGGUGCAGCGCGCGGCGGCGACGGGGGCGCAGCGCGAGCCGUCAACGGCUAGCACAUCGCGCAAGGAGAUUGAGCAGCCAGCCAGACGGGGGAAAUUAGAAAAUGUGAUGAUUAGACACGCUGACGUGGAUAGGCUGCAUGUGCAGCUUGCUAAAUUAACUGCACUUAGAGCAUCAGCAGCAAACUACUCAAAUGACCCCCUAUAGUUAUAUUUGGGGGUUUUCAGCAAAAAUGCUCCUCCAGAAGAACACCCAUACAACUACCUAAACCUAGCCGGUCCCCAAAUCCCCAUCGGGAGCCCCCAGGUUCCUCUGCCGCGUCGGGAGUCCCUAUCGCUGCUGCGCCAACGGAAUCGGUCCUCUUCCCGCUCCUCCCGCCAAGGGUGUUUCAAUGGACAGCCAGAGUCCUAUGGGUCUCUACACAAAUUUGUUGAGUGAAGGAUACACUCAAGAAGCUUGGGACCAAAAUUUGGGCAGUCCAUUCCGAGAACAAGUAAUGCAAUCUCAAGUAACUCCUCCGGUAAAAGCAAACACCAAGAGGACAAGAAACUUCACUGAUAAAGAAGAUGAAGUGUUGGUGGCUGCAUGGUUGCAUGCUAGUAUGGAUCCAAUAGUAGGUAGUGAGCAAAAGCAUGCAACUUAUUGGAACAGGAUUCAUGAGGAGUAUGAAUUGCACAAGCCACAAGGAAGUGAGCGCAAUGUCAAUUCCAUAUCACAUCAUUGGUCCGUUGUGAAAGAACAAGUGGGUAGGUUUUGUGGAUGUUACGAGCAAAUUAUGCAUAGGCACGAAAGUGGGAAGCCAGAGCAAGACAAGAUUGUUGAUGCUCUCAAAUUGUUCAAGUCACAAGAUAAGACCAAUAAAGGGUUUGUGCUAUUGCAUUGUUGGAACAUGCUGCGUUUUGAACAAAAGUGGUUAGCUCAAGCUGAUAGGUCAUCUCAUAGUAAUAAAAAGUAGAAGUCAAGCUCCAAUGCAAGUCCAAGUAUGUCUACUCCUGGAGUUGAUGCGAUACACAGUUGACGCGAUACACAUUGAUGACUUUGAAGCUACAUCUCCGGUCAAAGCUGGUCACAUGAAGAGACCCAUUGGGAAGAAGGCGGAGAAAGAGCGGCAACGUCGAGGUAAAAAUGUUACCUCUUUAGAAGAUAGUAAUGUUGUGAUGGCUUUGGAUGUUCUGUUCUCAAAGAGGACAAAGUUGGAGGAGGCAAGAGAUAUGGCAAGAGAAACAUCAAGACAAGCAAGAGAGAUGGCAAGAGAAACGGCACGACAAGCAAGAGAGGAUGCAAGAGAGGCAUCAAAGGAAAAGCGUUAUGUUGGAGCACUUGCAAUGGAGCAAAGGAAGUUCGAAUUUGAGGAAAGGAAGAUGGAAAUGGACAUCAUGAACAAGGAUCUUAGUUCGUUGGAUGAUGACCAAAAAGAAUACUACAAGAUGAUAAGGCGUGAUAUCAUUGACCGGCAAUCUAAAAGAUCGAUUUGACUGUGUUGUUGUAUUAAAUAUUUGAGUAUGGACUAUGUUGUUGUUUUAACUAUUUGAGUAUGGACUAUGUUGUUGUAUUAACUAUUUGAGUAUGGACUACGUUGUUGUAUUAACUAUUUGAGGUCCAUGGACUAAUUCA